GAUGAACGCUGACAGAAUGCUUAACACAUGCAAGUCGAUGGGGAAGUGGUGCUUGCCCCAUGGCAACCAUGGCGGACGGGUGAGUAACGCGUAAGGGACUUACCUGCAGGACUGGGAUAACAGGGGGAAACUCCUGACAAGACCGGAUAAUGUCAUGGAGCUGCAUGGCUUUAUGAUGAAAGGAGACGCCUGCGGAGAGCCUUGCGUCCUAUUAGCUAGUUGGUGAGGUAAUGGCUCACCAAGGCGAAGAUAGGUAGCCGGCCUGAGAGGGUGGACGGCCACAAGGGGACUGAGAUACGGCACUUACUCCUACGGGAGGCAGCAGUGGGGAAUAUUGGACAAUGGGGGCAACCCUGAUCCAGCAAUUCUGUGUGCACGAAGAAGGUUUUCGGAAUGUAAAGUGCUUUCAGCAGGGAAGAAGUAAGUGACGGUACCUGCAGAAGAAGCGACGGCUAAAUACGUG
Molecule: ribosomal RNA, 463 nt
Filed under: uncultured bacterium
Lineage: Bacteria
Description: partial 16S ribosomal RNA
Rfam family: Bacterial small subunit ribosomal RNA
Source: RNAcentral